This 459-nucleotide ribosomal RNA is filed under the name uncultured Gammaproteobacteria bacterium. RNAcentral describes it as "bacterial SSU rRNA". It matches the Rfam family "Bacterial small subunit ribosomal RNA", at positions 1069 to 1532 of the family's 1533-position model. Lineage: Bacteria; Pseudomonadati; Pseudomonadota; Gammaproteobacteria. The record is from RNAcentral.
GAGAUGUGGGUAGUCCGUACGAGCGCACCUUGAUCCUUAUUUGCCAGCACGUAAUGGUGGGAACUCUAAGGAGACUGCCGGUGACAAACCGGAGGAAGGUGGGGACGACGUCAAGUCAUCAUGGCCCUUAUGACCAGGGNCUACACACGUGCUACAAUGGAGCGUACAGAGGGUUGCUAAGCCGCGAGGUGGAGCCAAUCCCAGAAAACGUUUCGUAGUCCGGAUCGAAGUCUGCAACUCGACUUCGUGAAGUCGGAAUCGCUAGUAAUCGCGAAUCAGCAUGUCGCGGUGAAUACGUUCCCGGGCCUUGUACACACCGCCCGUCACACCAUGGGAGUGGGUUGCAAAAGAAGUGGCUAGUCUAACCUUCGGGAGGACGGUCACCACUUUGUGAUUCAUGACUGGGGUGAAGUCGUAACAAGGUAGCCCUAGGGGAACCUGGGGCUGGAUCACCUCCUU